CGCGCCGCUGGCCCAGGUACAGCGUGAACACCGGCCCGAAGCGCUCGGCCAGCUGCGGAGACAGAGGCUGCAGUUUAUUAGCCACAUAAGCAAGUCACUGGCUGUGCUGCGCUUAACACUGCACCUCUCCUAAACCAAGAAGGGGCAUUGGCCUCUGGCAGAAGCUUCAGGGGCCUUUGCCUCCCUCCACUUUUUUCACCCCUCAAGGACCUUCCAGGACAAGGUUAGACAAUCAGGAAGACAGAGAGCCUGUGGCAGGGAGCUCUUCAGGCUUUCAUCACAUCUGCUGUUGGCUGGGUGUGGCAAAGAGGUAAACGUAUUGGGACAAUUUUCUUCUUUCUCUAGAUAACUAACAGUGUUUAUCAGGGAUGAGAGUUGGGUUAAUGAAAUGUCUUUUUGAUUGAAACAAUUCUAUGAUUUUUCUCCUUAGACCUGCUAGUGUGAGGCUAGAUAAAAACACUGUCUCACACUGUACCAUAAAAGCACCAUAUACUUUUACAUUUUAUCAUAAAAGUACUUCAUAGUUCCACAUCACAACCAACUCUUUCAUGGAGUGAUACUCUUUUAACGCCCUAAGGAUUCAACUUGUUAAUAGUAUUUUUGGUAAUUUCGCAUCUAUACCUGCAAAUAAAAUUGGGCUAUAGCUUUUGUGUUAUAUUAGGUUCUUGCAUAAAAAUUGCACUAUUCUAGAAACCAUUGCAAAACUCCCGUCUUCUGUGUGCCUGGGAAUACUUUAUAUUGUAGGGGAAUUGUCUGUGCUUUGAAAUUUUGAUAGAACUCACUAGUAAAGCAAUAUAGAGAAGAUUUAUUGGAAUUGAAUAAUUGUUUAUAAAGAUUAGAAAGAUAAUUUUGAUCGGGAAAGUAAAAUAUCUCCUUUUAACAAAUGCAAACAACACAGAAGUGGAUGAAGUGAAAACUGAGGGUCCCAAAUUUACCCUACAAAGGCAGCUUCCAUAUUUUAAACCCCAUUAAGAAGGAAAAAUCCUCUGCUAAUUCUCUUUUUAUUAUUUGUAGUUUUUAUUUUAUACCUACUAAAAUACUUCUUUUGCACUUACUUUAAUUCUGUAUAUAAUGUGGAUUUGACUUACUAGUAUUCUUUUAUUUUGGCCCAAGAGACUUCCUUUAGUGUUUCUUAUGACAGGCUUACGAAUUCUUUCAGUUUUAUCUGAGAAUGUCUUAUUUUCUCUUUCUUUUUGACAUUUGA
Sapajus apella (tufted capuchin) is the source of this 1204-nucleotide long non-coding RNA. RefSeq lists it as uncharacterized. NCBI's taxonomy places the organism in Eukaryota, Metazoa, Chordata, Mammalia, Primates, Cebidae. The transcript has 3 exons. The record is from RefSeq and is a predicted model, not a curated record.